Molecule: ribosomal RNA, 180 nt
Filed under: uncultured bacterium
Lineage: Bacteria
Description: partial 16S ribosomal RNA
Rfam family: Bacterial small subunit ribosomal RNA
Source: RNAcentral
UAACACGUAGGGGGCGAGCGUUGUCCGGAUUUAUUGGGCGUAAAGAGCUCGUAGGCGGCUCGGUAAGUCAACUGUGAAAGCUCCGUGCUCAACUCGGAGAGGCCAGUUGAUACUGCUGUGGCUAGAGUCCGGUAGGGGAGCGUGGAAUUCCUGGUGUAGCGGUGAAAUGCGCAUAUAUCA